Molecule: ribosomal RNA, 497 nt
Filed under: uncultured bacterium
Lineage: Bacteria
Description: partial 16S ribosomal RNA
Rfam family: Bacterial small subunit ribosomal RNA
Source: RNAcentral
GAUGAACGCUGGCGGCGUGCCUAAUACAUGCAAGUCGAGCGAACAGACGAGGAGCUUGCUCCUCUGACGUUAGCGGCGGACGGGUGAGUAACACGUGGAUAACCUACCUAUAAGACUGGGAUAACUUCGGGAAACCGGAGCUAAUACCGGAUAAUAUAUUGAACCGCAUGGUUCAAUAGUGAAAGACGGUUUUGCUGUCACUUAUAGAUGGAUCCGCGCCGCAUUAGCUAGUUGGUAAGGUAACGGCUUACCAAGGCAACGAUGCGUAGCCGACCUGAGAGGGUGAUCGGCCACACUGGAACUGAGACACGGUCCAGACUCCUACGGGAGGCAGCAGUAGGGAGUCUUCCGCAAUGGGCGAAAGCUUGACGGAGCAACGCCGCGUGAGUGAUGAAGGUCUUCGGAUCGUAAAACCCUGUUAUUAGGGAAGAACAAAUGUGUAAGUAACUAUGCACGUCUUGACGGUACCUAAUCAGAAAGCCACGGCUAACUACGUG